RNAcentral lists this ribosomal RNA (515 nucleotides) under uncultured archaeon. Its description in RNAcentral is "bacterial SSU rRNA". It matches the Rfam family "Archaeal small subunit ribosomal RNA", at positions 345 to 859 of the family's 1478-position model. The record is from RNAcentral.
AACCUUUACACUGCACGCCAGUGCGAUAAGGGGACUCCAAGUGCGAGGGCAUAUAGUCCUCGCUUUUCUGGACCGUAAGGAGGUCCAGGAACAAGGGCUGGGCAAGACCGGUGCCAGCCGCCGCGGUAAUACCGGCAGCCCAAGUGAUGGCCGCUCUUAUUGGGCCUAAAGCGUCCGUAGCUGGCCAGGCAAGCCCGUCGGGAAAUCCGCACGCCCAACGUGCGGGCGUCCGGUGGAAACUGCCUGGCUUGGGACCGGAAGACCUGAGGGGUACGUCCGGGGUAGGAGUGAAAUCCCGUAAUCCUGGACGGACCACCGGUGGCGAAAGCGCCUCAGGAAGACGGAUCCGACGGUGAGGGACGAAAGCUCGGGUCACGAACCGGAUUAGAUACCCGGGUAGUCCGAGCUGUAAACGAUGUCUGCUAGGUGUGACACAGGCUACGAGCCUGUGUUGUGCCGUAGGGAAGCCGUGAAGCAGACCGCCUGGGAAGUACGUCCGCAAGGAUGAAACUUAA